UGAGUGAAGAAGGCUUUCGGGUCGUAAAACUCUGUUGUUGGGGAAGAAUGGUCGGCAGAGUAACUGUUGUCGGCGUGACGGUAUCCAACCAGAAAGCCACGGCUAACUACGUGCCAGCAGCCGCGGUAACACGUAGGUGGCAAGCGUUAUCCGGAUUUAUUGGGCGUAAAGCGAGCGCAGGCGGUUUUUUAAGUCUGAUGUGAAAGCCCUCGGCUUAACCGAGGAAGUGCAUCGGAAACUGGGAAACUUGAGUGCAGAAGAGGACAGUGGAACUCCAUGUGUAGCGGUGAAAUGCGUAGAUAUAUGGAAGAACACCAGUGGCGAAGGCGGCUGUCUGGUCUGUAACUGACGCUGAGGCUCGAAAGCAUGGGUAGCGAACAGGAUUAGAUACCCUGGUAGUCCAUGCCGUAAACGAUGAAUGCUAGGUGUUGGAGGGUUACCGCCCUUCAGUGCCGCAGCUAACGCAUUAAGCAUUCCGCCUGGGGAGUACAACCGCAAGGUUGAAACUCAAAGGAAUUGACGGGGGCCCGCACAAGCGGUGGAGCAUGUGGUUUAAUUCGAAGCAACGCGAAGAACCUUACCAGGUCUUGACAUCU
Molecule: ribosomal RNA, 596 nt
Filed under: Lacticaseibacillus rhamnosus
Lineage: Bacteria; Bacillati; Bacillota; Bacilli; Lactobacillales; Lactobacillaceae
Description: bacterial SSU rRNA
Rfam family: Bacterial small subunit ribosomal RNA
Source: RNAcentral